CGUAGGUGGCAAGCGUUGUCCGGAUUUAUUGGGUUUAAAGGGUGCGUAGGCGGUCUAUUAAGUCAGUGGUGAAAUAUGGCAGCUUAACUGUCAGGGUGCCAUUGAUACUGAUGGACUUGAGUGAAGUCGAAGUAGGCGGAAUUGACGGUGUAGCGGUGAAAUGCUUAGAUAUCGUCAAGAACACCGAUAGUGAAGACAGCUUACUAGGCUUAUACUGACGCUGAGGCACGAAAGUGUGGGGAUCAAACAGGAUUAGAUACCCUGGUAGUCCACACUGUAAACGUUGAUUACUCGCUGUUGGCGAUACACAGCCAGCGGCCAAGCGCAAGCGAUAAGUAAUCCACCUGGGGAGUACGCCGGCAACGGUG
Molecule: ribosomal RNA, 368 nt
Filed under: uncultured organism
Description: bacterial SSU rRNA
Rfam family: Bacterial small subunit ribosomal RNA
Source: RNAcentral